GGCCAAGUAGCUCAGUUGGUAGAGCAACGGACUGAAAAUCCGUGUGUCGGUGGUUCGAUUCCGCCCUUGGCCACCA
RNAcentral lists this transfer RNA (76 nucleotides) under Tepidimonas ignava. RNAcentral's name for it is "tRNA-Phe". It matches the Rfam family "tRNA". From Rfam's summary of the family: Transfer RNA (tRNA) molecules are approximately 80 nucleotides in length. The record is from RNAcentral. RNAcentral also lists the same sequence under 2 other names. Lineage: Bacteria; Pseudomonadati; Pseudomonadota; Betaproteobacteria; Burkholderiales.